This 158-nucleotide small nuclear RNA is filed under the name Ananas comosus (pineapple). RNAcentral describes it as "U4 spliceosomal RNA". It matches the Rfam family "U4 spliceosomal RNA". From Rfam's summary of the family: U4 small nuclear RNA (U4 snRNA) is a component of the major U2-dependent spliceosome. The structure of U4 snRNA from yeast and human has been reported. The record is from Rfam by way of RNAcentral. Lineage: Eukaryota; Viridiplantae; Streptophyta; Magnoliopsida; Poales; Bromeliaceae.
AUCUUUGCGCUUGGGGCAAUGACGCAGCUAGUGAGGUAAAAACCGAGGCGCGUCAAUUGCUGGUUGAAAACUAUUUCCAAACCCCCUCUUUGGCCUGGGCUCGCCCCGGUUGCCACUGAGAAUUUCUGGAAGGGCCCCCUCUAAUCCAGGGUAAGGCC